GACGAACGCUGGCGGCGUGCUUAACACAUGCAAGUCGAACGGAAAGGCCUGCUUUCCCUUGUGGAUUGCGGGUACUCGAGUGGCGAACGGGUGAGUAACACGUGAGUGAUCUGCCCCCAAAUUGGGUAUAAGCCUGGGAAAAUGGGUCUAAUUCCCGAUAGGACUGCAGGGUGGUGCCUGUGGUGGAAAACGAUUUUCUUGUGGUUGGGGAUGAGCUUGCGGCCUAUCAGCUUGUUGGUGGGGUAAUGGCCGACCACUGCGGCGAUGGGUAGCCGGCCUGGGGUUGUUUGCAUCCAAAUUGGGACUGUGAUAAUGCCCCGACGACGCCGGGCGGUAGCCAGGGGGAAUCUUGCGAGAUGAACGGAAGCCUGGUGCGUCAACGCCGAGGGGGCGAUGACGGCCUUCGGAUUGUAACCUCCUUUCGACCGCGAGAGAGCCACCUUGUUGGAAGGGUGGUGACGGUAAUGGUAGAAGAAGCACCGGCUAACUACGUG
This 494-nucleotide ribosomal RNA is filed under the name uncultured bacterium. Its description in RNAcentral is "partial 16S ribosomal RNA". It matches the Rfam family "Bacterial small subunit ribosomal RNA", at positions 28 to 507 of the family's 1533-position model. The record is from RNAcentral.